Non-coding RNA from Podarcis lilfordi (Lilford's wall lizard), 81 nucleotides. NCBI's taxonomy places the organism in Eukaryota, Metazoa, Chordata, Lepidosauria, Squamata, Lacertidae. The record is from the annotation of a GenBank genome assembly.
GGAUGGAAAGGCCAUAGCUCAGUGGCAAAGCAUCUGCCUUGCAUGCAGAAGGUCCCUGGUUCAAUCCCAGCAUCUCCACCA